RNAcentral lists this ribosomal RNA (254 nucleotides) under uncultured bacterium. Its description in RNAcentral is "partial 16S ribosomal RNA". It matches the Rfam family "Bacterial small subunit ribosomal RNA", at positions 524 to 776 of the family's 1533-position model. The record is from RNAcentral.
UACGAAGGGGACUAGCGUUGUUCGGAAUCACUGGGCGUAAAGCGCACGUAGGCGGAUUUGUAAGUCAGGGGUGAAAUCCCGGGGGCUCAACCUCGGAACUGCCUUUGAUACUGCGAAUCUUGAGUCCGAUAGAGGUGGGUGGAAUUCCUAGUGUAGAGGUGAAAUUCGUAGAUAUUAGGAAGAACACCAGUGGCGAAGGCGGCCCACUGGAUCGGUACUGACGCUGAGGUGCGAAAGCGUGGGGAGCGAACAGG